Gallus gallus (chicken) is the source of this 2400-nucleotide long non-coding RNA. The record is from Ensembl. NCBI's taxonomy places the organism in Eukaryota, Metazoa, Chordata, Aves, Galliformes, Phasianidae.
ACUGGGUCUCAAAGAAAAUGAUAUAACCUUGAAGGCUGACUGGAGUUUCCAAUCCCACCUCCUCUAGCACAAGCCAGAAGACAAAACAGUUUUUCAGGUGUGAGGCUAUGGGCUAUGUUGUCUUCACUGCAGCUAUAUGCUCCAAGUGUAAACUCUCCCACUGAGCUACAAAGAGUGAAGCAGCACUGUUAAUGAGACAUUAAUCUCAAGCAGAGGAACAGCAGGAAGUACACGAGGAGGUGAUGUGAUCAAAACUUAAUCAUCUACAGCUAUCAGGAAUCAUCUGCCUGCUGUCUGUGAGUGUCUUUGUGCCAGCUGCAUCCGCUCAGGGGCCUGGAAAUGGGAGGCACUCCAGUGAGUUUGGCUGGUGUGCCUGGGUGGAAGUUUCUGCUUGAUAUUGGAAGAUGGGGAGAUGGAGACAGUGGGGAAGACCAGCUGGAGCAGCACACUAUGCCUGUGAACAACUCAGAGAUGCUGCAGGAAGGAGCAGUAGGGAGAAAGAAGAUACAAGUUUAUCCCCUUAAUUUAUUAGAAAACUUGCAAUUUUCAAUAGGUGACAGGCAUAUUAGCUCUCCUUUGGCUACUAUCAGAUUUUUUUUCUCUCAAAAGUAAUACUCUGAAUCAGUGAACAUGGUCACACUAUGUCCCAUAUGCUCAUGUUAUCCUCAUCAGAAAGUGGCAGUUGUUCCUGUGCACCUUCCCGGUGUGUGAGCACUGCACAAAGACUGAGACAACAGUGCACCCCACAGCAGAUAUGGAACUCAUUUCGUCCUCAGCACUGUAUAUCAGGCAGUUGUGUAGAAAGCAAAAAGCUGAAUUUAAAGGACUUUUCUUACUUCGUUCUUCUGAAACUGUAGAGUCUGUGGGACCCAAUUUUCUUUCUGUAAGGAUUGUUAGUGCUGUUCACCCAAACCGAAGCCUUUUCCAACUUUGUUUCAGAAACACAAUGACAAUCUGCUCUGUAUGUUUUAGGUGUCAGAACUCAGUGUUCAGGUGUGGUGCAGCAUAUUCUGAGUGUGCAGGAACACCUGCAGGCACCCAGAUCUGCAGGGUGACUGUAAUGUCCUGCUUGAAUCUACUGCACAUCUCUUCUACCAAACCGCCUGUGAAGUGAUUGAGAAAAGAUUGGGGUACAGAGUUGAAGAGAACUCUUACUUAGCCUGCAUGUUCUCUUUGCACUUUCAAGUGAUAACCAAAAGAGAAAAAAGCCAGAUAAAUUUUCUCUGAGCAGUACUAACUGACUGAUGCACAGUGGUCUAUAAUUUCCUGCUGACUUUGCAGCCCAGAGGAGGAUCCAGUGCCCAGGAGAGCAUUGGGCUUCCCUCUGAAAUGAUGAGACUCAAGCAAAACCAAGCCCUCAGCACUCUGCAGAGCACGCAGGACUUUACAUCAGUUCAUUAAAGAGAAAGGAAACUUAACUUCUAUGGAAACAAGAGCAGCUUUGUGAAAGGAGAAUUUAGUGGCUUCUGCAAUCUGCAUGACAUUUUACAGACGUAAAGGGAAAGGAAGUUAAAAACCAUUGAACUGAUAUUGGGAAGCACCGGCCAUCUGGAAAAGAAUUUCAUUGUCAUGAUUUCCAGUGCAGAGCUGCAGGAGUACUUAGAUAACCUUCAGAGAAAAAGUAGUCCUACAUACUGUUGUGAAACACAUUUCUAAACUCUAAGGUUUGUCACCAGUAUUUGGCAAGCUGUGUUAUUUCUGGACUAGUCAUUACAUUAUUUACUUCUCUGCACCACAGCUGCCUCCAUCCCUGUACAAUGAUUUAAAACUAAAUAAUGUUGUAGUGUGUGUUAUAACAAAGAUAGAUUUGCAGAGAAAAUAAUGCCAGCUGUCUAGAAGGUCUUAAAUACUUGUGUUCAUGGUCAUCAUGAGUGAUCAGAUAUAGUUUUCUGCUCUUCUUUUUCCGCACAAUUCUGGAAGAGUAGUGAUACACAUUCUGCUUUCAAUUAAUAUUUAUUAAAAUCAGAACAAAAUAUCUUCCAGAAGGUUUUAUAGGGAAAAGAAAAAAUAAGAACCAUUUAUGGAAUCAAGGUCAAGUAUCAACAAGUUUCAUUUUGACUUAUGCAGGCAAUGUAAGUGAGUAGAUAGGUCAUACUGUGAGCAGAGGAACGUGAUUCAAUCUGUUUACAGUGUGAGAGAAAAUGGACAACCCAGUAUAACAGAUGAAGGUUCUGGUAAGUGGGGAUGUGUUGGACACUUCAGUUAGGGUUCAAUUCAGGUGCAUCAACAUAGACACCUAAUAUUGUCUGUAUUACAUUACAGCAUUCCAGACAUGUUCAGCUUUAGUUAAGUGGCUUUUAGCCAUCUAGAAUAAGAUGUUUUCUCUGCUUGAAAAGCCCAAGAAGCUGAAAAAAAAUUGAAUUUCUGAUAAAAUUACAUGAAUCUGUGAUAGCCAGUGUU